Epinephelus moara (kelp grouper) is the source of this 843-nucleotide long non-coding RNA. RefSeq lists it as uncharacterized. The transcript is spliced from 2 exons. The record is from RefSeq and is a predicted model, not a curated record. NCBI's taxonomy places the organism in Eukaryota, Metazoa, Chordata, Actinopteri, Perciformes, Serranidae.
UAUACUAUUAAGAUUUAGCCUCUUGUUACUGUAACCCCUAUGGAAGCACAGCUUUGGGUUUACUGACUAUUGUUUGUUUGUUUGGGUUCAUACUAAAUAGUUUUCAUUUUAAUGUCUCAUUUUAUUAAGAGAACUGUUUCAAGAUGGCUGUAGUUGCUUAAAAUGGCCGCUAGAGGGCGCUGCAUGUGCGUGCUAUGUAGUAAAUCCCGGAGACGUGAGCAUUGCAUGCUGGGAGCAAGACACUCCGGCCUAGCCUUGAUGCUAACGGGACCACGAUGUAGCUACGAGUGAAGUCAGUGACAUUUUAUGGAAGAAACACUGCUUUAUUUUCAUGUUUAUGAGUCUGUACAUGUUGGAAGUUGCUGUGAGAGAGUUCCAGCCGGCUGCGACCGGAGGAUUUGCUUUAUUUUGUUUAUACGAACAAGGACUCCGAUUGUUUUUUUUUUUUUGAAUUGCUGGAUCUGCAUUUUGGUGGGACAGCGUCGAUUCCAACCAGGGUUCCUGUCUGAGGCGAGGCAGAGUAGAGAGGAUCUGAAAUUCUCCAUCUUCAUCAUCUUCCUGAAGAUUCACGCCUGGAGCAGAUAAGAUCUAAGCUGCGCGCAUCAAGCACACAAACAUACACAUUCUACCCGGGUAGCACACAUGCACUGAAUAAACUUGGACGUACAUGGAUACAAACUGAACAGUUUGGACUGGACUUUGACGAACAUUGACAUUAGACAGCAAUAAGCUGUGAAGGGACACUUUACUUUUGUUUUUUAUUUUUAUAUUGGGAAAUUGAAUCUGAAUUGUGAUUCCACUUUUUGUUGAUUGUGAGAAUAAAUAUUGCUGUGUUGACCUUUA